Molecule: small RNA, 29 nt
Filed under: Bombyx mori (domestic silkworm)
Lineage: Eukaryota; Metazoa; Arthropoda; Insecta; Lepidoptera; Bombycidae
Description: ovarian small RNA-9516
Source: RNAcentral
UUCAGGCAAUAUGGGGCUUAGGUCCGUUA